This 22-nucleotide small nuclear RNA is filed under the name Arabidopsis thaliana (thale cress). Its description in RNAcentral is "snRNA_12796". The record is from RNAcentral. Lineage: Eukaryota; Viridiplantae; Streptophyta; Magnoliopsida; Brassicales; Brassicaceae.
CCUAAUUGGUUUACAUGGUAAU